UCUGGAGACAGGUGCUGCAUGGCUGUCGUCAGCUCGUGUCGUGAGAUGUUGGGUUAAGUCCCGCAACGAGCGCAACCCUUGCCUUUAGUUGCCAGCAGUUCGGCUGGGCACUCUAAAGGGACUGCCGGUGUUAAACCGGAGGAAGGUGGGGAUGACGUCAAGGUCCUCAUGGCCUUUAUGACCAGGGCUACACACGUACUACAAUGGCCGAUACAAAGGGCAGCGACACUGCGAGGUGAAGCCAAUCCCGUAAAAAUCGGUCUCAGUCCGGAUUGGAGUCUGCAACUCGACUCCAUGAAGUUGGAAUCGCUAGUAAUCGUGGAUCAGCAUGCCACGGUGAAUACGUUCCCGGGCCUU
This 357-nucleotide ribosomal RNA is filed under the name uncultured Desulfobulbus sp. RNAcentral describes it as "bacterial SSU rRNA". It matches the Rfam family "Bacterial small subunit ribosomal RNA", at positions 1027 to 1382 of the family's 1533-position model. The record is from RNAcentral. Lineage: Bacteria; Pseudomonadati; Thermodesulfobacteriota; Desulfobulbia; Desulfobulbales; Desulfobulbaceae.